AAAAGAGGAACUUUCACUAACAACGCGUACGUCCUGUAGGCAACGCGAAAGCCACCGCAUCCUGCGGA
RNAcentral lists this small RNA (68 nucleotides) under Sporolactobacillus laevolacticus DSM 442. Its description in RNAcentral is "Bacillaceae-1 RNA". It matches the Rfam family "Bacillaceae-1 RNA". Lineage: Bacteria; Bacillati; Bacillota; Bacilli; Caryophanales; Sporolactobacillaceae. The record is from Rfam by way of RNAcentral.